Molecule: long non-coding RNA, 10014 nt
Filed under: Populus trichocarpa (black cottonwood)
Lineage: Eukaryota; Viridiplantae; Streptophyta; Magnoliopsida; Malpighiales; Salicaceae
Description: long non-coding RNA (PTRI_LNC003772)
Source: RNAcentral
GGAGAUGAAAUUUCCAGAUUAUAUCAUUUGGAAACUUUGGAAUGCAACUUCCGUGAUCUAGACGAUUUCGGAUUUUUCCAAUCUGGACGGAGAGUUUCACAAAUUGCAUGCAAGGUUACUGUAGGACGACCUUCUUUCUCUUCACUUGAAGAUCUUAAUUAUACAAGAUCGAAGUCUGGGUUAAUUAAAGAGGCUUGGUUUUAUGACCUCAUGAUUGACAAUGCAGUUUGUCUGUUCCCGCGCUUCUUUACAAAAGUAGUUAUUGUGAGAUGUCAAAACAUGAGAAGCUUAUGUCCAUCAUAUGAAAUUAAAGUGCUUAGCGGGCUUGAGAUUCUACACCUUGAUGGUUUGAUGAUCUUAGAAACCCUUUUUGAAGCAGAACCUUCAGAGCUACGUACUGCUGGUGUCUUCUACAAUCUCAGAGAGAUCGUGAUACAUAAAUGUCAUAGGAUAAAGGUGCUGCUCCCUUGGUUUUUGUCUACACUCCGAUUGGAAGUGAUUGUAGUCGAAGAUUGUUACAACAUGCAGGAGAUAAUGGGAAGUGGUGAAGUUUUGGUACAUGGAGAGGAGCAUUCCUCUCCAUUUGGUAGUUUUGAUACGACAUUGAGGGUUUUGGUAUUGAAGAAAUUACCGAAUUUGAAAAGCAUUUAUUCUGGAAGACUUCAAUGCAAUUCUCUCGAAGAGAUUACCGUGGGUGAUUGCCCGCAGCUAACGAGGAUCCCGUUCACUAUUUCCCAUUCUCUUAAGAAAAUUGAAGUAGAUCCUGAAAGUUUGCUGAACACAGUUGAGAAUGUUUCAUGAUUUCUAGCCAUUUGCAAUUAUUCCGGGGAUGAAAUUAGGAUUUUAUGAUUUCUAGGGAUUGUUUUGUAUUUUGGUACUGGAACCUUUACCUUAUAGUAAAGGUAUGACGUCAUGCUAUUUAUGUAAGGAGUGCUCGGGAGGGUGAUAGAAAUUAACAUUUCAGAAUUUUUUUUAUUUAAAUUUUUUAUUAUUAUUAGUAUAUUAAAAUAAUUUAAAAAUAUUAAAAAAAUAGUGAAAAUAUUAAAUUUAGAAAUUAACAUUUCAGAAGUGAUAGCAUCCUGUAGAUAUAGGUUCCUUCCAGCAUCAACUUCACUUAAACAUUUCAUAUUUAUCCUCGGCAGUCGACAGUCUACAACGCCAGUGCUGAUAAUGUUCUUUCUUCUCUUCUCUUAUCUUCUCUUCUCUCUUCUCUUUUCUAUUAUUCAUUUAGAAGAUUUUUCUAGCUCUAAAUCCAAGUCCAGAUCUUAUAAUUACUUUACAGAUCUUUGCAAGAAAAAUUACAGAUUGUUUUAGGUGCAAAAUGCAAACUUUGCUGCAAUUACGGGACAAAAAAACUUUCAAGCACGCACAUGAUAACUUGGACUAAAAAUCAUUGCUUCCCUGGGAGAGAGUGGCUUGUGCCUUAAACACUCCAUGGAAUUUGUGAUAUUCUUUUCUAAUCGAAUUUCAAGAUGAGUGUCUUUCAGAUCAAAAAAGGUCAAAUUAACCAUUUAGAUCACAAAUUCUGAGUGCAGCAUUAAAACAAAUGUUUUCAUAGUCAAACCGUUGUCGGCUAACAAGUGCGCUGUAACUUCUCGUGGCUUUAAUUGAUUUGCUCCAAGACAGGGAAGAACAAGUGUUACUUCCCUAGUGUUGGAUCCAAGCACAAUGUUUUAAGAAUCAUUUGCUACAGUAUCCAUACUUUUUAUUAGCGCAUCAAGUAGCACUUGACUGGCUAAAAAGUUGGAAAAAUGCUAGCAAUUAUUUAUUUAUUUAUUUUUAGUGGAGGGUCAUUAAUAAAAAAAAAUCACCUGAAAUAUACCUAUGUACAUAACUUGAUGUUCAAAUAAUUAAGGUAAUGAAACUAGUGAGUGUGUAUAUAUAAUCCAAAAUAACUUAAAAGUUUUUUAUUUGGUGUGUCGAUCCAUGAGUAACUCUUGGAUCAACUAUUAUAUAGAAUUUUAACUUUACGUAAACAGUAAGUAUAUUAAUAAAGUUUUUCUUUCAUAACCCUAACAUAUAAAUACCUUGUUUUUUUUUUCCUACUCUUCUAAAUCAAGAAUUAUUAUACUAUCCAACCUUAAAGGUAUAUAUGCACUGCCGCUACUUGCUUCCAAUGUCUUUUUACCUUUAUAUAUAUUGAGGUUUUAGAACAAUGGUCCAUCGUAAUUAAUUUCUUGAAAUUCUCUUCAUAGAUUCAAUAAAAAAAAAACUUAGAGAAAUUGUUGCUAGAUGCAUUUAUAUUUCUACAAGUCUGAAAACUCAAAUGAUAGAAUACAAAUGAAGACAAUAAAACUAAAAAAAAAAGACUGUAAGAUUAGAGGUACAUUUUUUCAACAAAAUAUUGCUAAAAGAUUGUUGGUGGGAGAUCAAAGGAUUAGGCAUCACUUAUUGUUUUAUUUCACUUUCAUAUGAUUGAUUUCAUUUAAUUUUUUAUUAAGACAAAUUUACUGUUCUCUAUACAAUGAACUAAUUUAUUAUUAUUUUAUGAUGUUAAACUUGGAUGUUUUCUUAUUAUUUAAUAUCUUGUAAUUGACGUGUUUUAAUUUGAAGCAAAUAAAAAAAUUUAAUUUUUUUUUAAAAAACGCUUUGAAAACACAAAAAUAAACAAGCCCUAGAAGUGUUUGUUUUCGUGAUUUCAUUUGUUUUUCAAGACUUUUAAAAUAUUUCUAAAAUUAGUUUUUAUUUAAAAAAGCAUAUCAGUGAUAUCAUUUAAGUAUUUAUCAAUUAUUUUGAUUUACUAAUAUUAAAAAUAAAAUUAAAAAAUAUUGUUUGAUUUAUUUUCAAUUAAAAUUAUUGAAAAUUAAAAGUAUCUAUAUUGCAUACCAAACACAAAUUAAGAAAUGGACUAAGAAAUGAACCCGAGACUAGACAAAGAACAGUGCAAGCACAUCAGUCAUUUGUUGAGAGAGGACGCUCUUCUAGAAAGGCCUGUACACAAGUGUUCUUGGACUAAAAAAUACGUAUUGCUGGCAGCGAAGCUAGUGGGCCGAGCGUUUGAAAGAAAUACGAAGAUGAUGAAGUUUAAAAAUUCAAGAAUAUAAAAUAAAAAGGUAUUUGAUGUUAGGGAUAUUGGUUUAUUAAUAUGUUAAAAAUUUUGGAUUUCUUUUAAUCUAAAAUAUUUUAAAUUAACCAAGAAGAUCUUGCAUGCCUGCAAUAAAAUAAUUUUAAUUGGGGGACUUAAAGAUCCUCUGAUGAUAAAGUUAGUAUCUUUUGAGAGAAAUAAAAUACAAGAAUAUUCUAAAAAUAUGCUCUAAAAAUAUAAAUGCAGUAGAAAAUUAGAGAUCGUGAACCUUUGUUAUGAAGCUUUUAAUAUGUAUUUAUAACCCACAAAUCUUGUUCUUUUAUAAAAAGGAGAGCCUGCAGUGUAAUUAUCUUAAUAAUAUUUAAUGAAAGAUAAAUAUUUCUUACCUGAUAGGAAUAUGGUGGGUCUUUGAAAAACUUUUAUACACCUAAAAAUAUGUACGAAGAUUAGAGUUUAGGACAUUAAAUUUAGCUAAGCCUAUAGAGACCGAGUUCUUCCCUGAGGUUAGAUCCAAGGGAGGUUGGUCAUUUUCCCGAACAUGUCAAGGGAGGAUAGUCAUUAUCUUGAACGUGACUGACUGUCAAGUCUAAACAUGCAUGCUAGACCCACGCUACCUUGAGUCUUGCAUGCGUGUCAGGUCCAAGCUACCUACUCAUAGGCCUUGAACUUGACUGACUGUUAAGUUCAAGCGUCUUGGGUUUAACAUGUAUGUCAAAUCCAUGUUAUCCUAGACUUGACGCACUACCAAGUCUAAGUGCCUAGGAGAAUUGCCUUUUUAAUCUAGCUCUACUGAGAGACAGCUCAAAAUCCAAAAAUUUUAAGAAAAAUAAAACAAAACCUACAUUAAUGCAAGAAAUCUGAAAUACCCUAGGAAAAAUAACAAAAUUGGCCUAAACAAGGGCAUCCAGGCUUGAAACCUAAUUUUGGAAGGUCAAUCGGUGUAAAAAGGUACACAAUCGCUUUUUAUAGGAAAAUUAUCUUUUUAAUUACUUGAAAAAAUUUUAAGUUUGAUUCAACGACCAAAUCUCUAGAUAUCUUAUUUUUAAGAUAUUAACAUGGCCUGAAAUAAUCAAACCUUCGUUUAAGUUUAGGCUUGUCCUACUUAUACAUAAAAAAUCUGUUAGACCAUCUAAGUAGAAGAUCAAAUCCCUACAUGAAUGCUCAUAACCUUCUAUUUCUAAAAGCCCGGCUGCAUUAUCCUAACUUGUAAUGUGCUGUUGUCGUCUGGCCAACUGAUAAAUACUCUAUUAAAAACGACGUAUCUUUCUAACAUCCGGAGGUAUAGAUUACAGUUUCACCUCAACUGAUAAAUACUCUACAAAACCAAUCCGAAUGAAUUAAAUGUUUUAUAAACAGUUAUUGUUUGAGUCGGAUUUGAGUAUAAUUAAAAGAACCGAUAAUGAAUACUAUACAUGUAUACAAAUUUUAAACUUAAAGGUUGUUUGCUAGUCUCAUUCUCAACCGUCUCCAUCUGUGAACAUACUGCUCUCAAAAUCAACUCUACUGCUUUCUCUUUUCUUUGCCUAUUGCUUUCUCUCCAUCUGUGGAUCGUGCUCUUUCUCAUCGUUUGCAUUGUUGGCGUGCUGUCCACAGUAAAGAAGGACAACCUCUUUUGGAUGAUGGAUUGGAGGAUGAUUGGGGGGAGAGAUUGUGCUUACUGAAGAGACCAUGGUUCCUAGCAUACUUAUGCCUGAUGCACCUGAGACUGGAUUGGGAACAGAGCCAGCAAGUCAAGCAUUUGAAAUGGAUAUGAAUAACAUCCCGUCUUCAUUGAUGAAGGAUGUUGAGUUGAGUAGUGGUAUAGAGAACAUGAUACACAUAUGUCAUCGAUUGAAGGUGCUACUCCCUGCUUGGUUGUUGUCUAGACUCCGAUUGGAAGUGAUUGGAGUCGAAGAAUGUGAUGGAAUGGAGGAGAUAGUGGGAACAGAUGAAGAGGGGAGAACCCAUCAGAGGAUAGUUUCUUGCUUUGAUACGACAUUGAGGGUUUUGGUAUUGAAGAAAUUACCAAAUUUGAAUAGCAUUUAUUCUGGAAGUCUUUUAUGCAAUUCACUUGAGGAAAUUACUGUGGGUGAUUGCCCGCAGCUAACGAGGAUCCCGUUCACUAUUUCCCAUUCUCUUAAGAAAAUUGAAGCAGAUCCUGAAAGUUUGUUGAACACAGUUGAGCAUUUUUGAAGACCUGGCCUCUUACCCACAAGAAGAUGCAUUUCACAAUUAGAAGCAGAGCUCCCUGGUGAAAUGCCAUGACCGGUAAGCAAGCUUCAUUGUCUCCUCUCUACCUUUCGUUUCUUCUUUUUUUGGAGAAAGAGAAGAUUUCUGGAUCAAAUUCACCCAUCUGUUUCAAUAUUCAUUUCACAGCACCCGUUAUGGUCAUGGUUUCCAAUCAUGUUUUGUUGUGAUUGGUUCCUCGUGGCUUAAGCAAGAUAUGGUAACGUUGACAAGAAGGCAUUGUUGGUGGAAGAAAAUGAAAUUAAGCCCCUCUGUUCAGAAUCAUCCCUAUCAUAGCAAAUAAAUCGCUAUUUUCUAUCUCCGAAGCUAUUUGUAGUGGAAGGAUUAUUAGUGAGACUUGCCUUGUAUUUGUGGUCUCUGAAGCUACUUGUAGUGGCUACCUAUAAAUAGAGACUCGUCUUUUCAUGCAUCAACUUGCUUAAAUAAUCCCUAUGAUAGUCUCUUGUUAAUUUGUAGCCAAAAUAUUACUCUGCUGGAGACAAAUACGAUAAUUAAUAUGUAGAACAUGUAACAGUUAUCAUGGAGGAUGUUCCAUCCUCGCUAACUGCUAUGAUUUCCAAAGAGAGCGGAAAUCUGAUAGAUAAACACUAAACAGAACAUCUUUGUAUGAUGAUUAUAAAGUCCACACCGAAGAAACAAGCCGCAGCUUGAACUCUAAAUUAGGUAAACACAAAUCAGAUAAAAGGAAGGAUUGCAAAUUAUCAUAAUGUUUGCAAACUAAAUUAUCAUAACCGAGUCCGAAAGCGCCAUUAUUCUAUCAUUUUCCCUGCAUGUAAGCAGAGCAUUCCACAUCAUAUCACUCAGUAUGCAUUUUCAACCAAACUGGUUGAUUCGGAAGAAUCACCUGACAACGAUGAUGACUCUCCUUCAAUGUUUGUUGGCGUCUCAUCUACAUUGAAGACAGGCUUAGGAGGCACUUGCAAGUUUUCCAAAUCUCCUUCAAGCAUCUCCACAACAUUCUUCAUUGUAGGCCGAUCCAUGGGUUUCAUUUGUAUACACCACAAUCCAACCAUAAUCAUCUUCUUAACGAUCUUACUUUCUUCCUCAGUGGCAUCGACUCCGAUUUCUAUGGCCUUUCCAUCAGAUACUUGGUCAUGAACCCAAUAUGGCCAGUAGAUUUGACUUGAAUUUUCUGCCAAAGCGUUUAGAUUCUUUCUUUUGCCUACCAUUUCCAAUAGCAGCAUUCCGAAGCUAUAAACAUCAGCUUUAUAUGAGACGCGUCCAAUGUUUUUGUAGAACAAUUUGUUGGGAAAACUAGGAACAACCGGACACCAAUUUACCCGGAUCAAUUCACAAUUCACAAGUUCCAAUUCUUUUUCCUUUUUGUGCAGUAAAAACAGAAUCAAACAAUGACCAAAUAUAAUGCAAAUAAUCACACAAAUCAACACCAAGAUUUUUACGUGGAAAACCCGAUGCGGGAAAAACCACGGGACCGUAGUCCACCUAAAAACUUCCACUAUCAACAAAUAAUGGGUUCACAAUUGUUCUUUCUUAGAUUCAACUAAGGGCUACAACAUAUAUAUCAUCAAGAAUAACUUAUUCUCGGAUUACAACAAGAUUAAAGGAGAAUUAUUUGAGAAAAACUCACAAUACUGACAGCUCCACUUUCUGUCAAAACGGCCAGCUUUUACACCACUAAUAUUCGAUCCAACCGUCCAGAAUGAAGAGGAAUGUGUCUGGCAGCUGCUGUCAAAAUCUCAGCCCGAUCCAACGGUGAACGAGCCAGGAAUCGAAGAAAUGAGGCAGACUGCUCUGCUGCCUCUUCUUCCUUUCUUUCUCUCGGUUUUUCUCUUCUCUCUUGUUCAAAAUUGCUACUGCCAUCUACAGUAGCCGAACAUUUAAUUUAAAGAGGGCCAUCUGCCUCUCUUCUUAAUUAACAUGGUGGUCCCACCAUCACAUGGUGCGGGACCACACACAACAAAUCUCCCCCUCACGCACCAUGUGAGGAAUUCACCAUACUGGCGAUCAACAUGUAAGCUUCAAUUUAGGAGGCUCUGACAAGCCUGCUUUCCUUCUGCAAAACUCAAACUUCUCUCUCGGUAGAGGUUUGGUCAUCAUGUCUGACACGUUGUCAUCGGUAUGGAUCUUCUCAACAACAAAUGACUUCAUCUCCAUAGCAUCUCGAAUCCAUUGAUAUCUAACCUCAAUGUGCUUUGACCGAGAGUGAAAAGUAGGAUGCUUAUUGAGAUGGAUUGCACUUUGACUAUCACAGUGCAACACAAAGUUCUCUUGAACUAGGCCAAGUUCAUGUAAGAACUUCUUCAUCCAUAACAACUCUUUGCCCUCUUCAGUAAGAGCAAUAUAUUUAGCCUCUGUAGUGGAUAAUGCCACACAUUUUUACAACCUUGAUUGCCAUGAGACUGCUCCCCCUGCAAACUUCAUCAAGUAUCCUGAUGUGGACUUUCUAGAAUCAACAUCACCAGCCAUAUCUGCAUCUGUGUAUCCAUCCAACACAGGUUUAUCAUUACCAAAACAUAAGCUGAAACUAGAAGUACCUUUGAGAUACCUGAGUAUCCAUUUCACUGCUGACCAGUGUUCUUUACCAGGAUUGGAGAGGAACCGACUGACCACACCAACUGCAUGAGCUAUAUCCGGCCUUGUGUAAACCAUGGCAUACAUCAAGCUACCAACUGCGGAUGCAUAAGGAACCUUUUUCAUCUCAUCUCUUUCUUCAUCACUUGAAGGACACUGCUUAGAACUUAGUUUAAAGUGGCUUGCAAGUGGAGAACAAACCGGUUUGGAGUUGCUCAUGUUGAAUCUCUCAAGUACCUUUUGAACAUAUCUCUCUUGAGAUAGCCAAAGUUUCUCCUUCUUCCUGUCACGUGUGAUCUUCAUGCCAAGAAUCUGUUUGGCCGGUCCCAAGUCUUUCAUUGCAAAAGACUUGCUUAACUCUUCCUUCAACAUCUGAAUCUUCUUAGCAUCAUGGCCAACAAUCAACAUAUCAUCCACAUACAACAGGAGAAUAAUAAAGUUUCCAUCUGGAAACCUUUUCAUAAAUACACAAUGAUCAGAAGUGGUCAUGUCAUAACCAUGAUCCACCAUGAAAGAAUCAAACUUCUUGUACCAUUGUCUUGGAGCUUGCUUUAACCCAUAUAGGCUCUUUUUCAACUUGCAAACUAGCUGCUCUUUACCUUUUGCUUCAAACCCUUCAGGCUGCUCCAUGUAGAUUUCCUCAUCUAAAUCACCAUGGAGAAAGGCAGUUUUUACAUCAAGUUGCUCAACUUCAAGAUUCAAACUAGCAGCUUUUGGUUUAUGUCUUCAGAAUGGAAAAGAUGUGAUGAUUAGAGCCAGGGAGCUAUGGACAGCAUUGAGUGUGAUAAAAGGUGUUUUAAUUCUUGAUAAUUUGUGGGGUCAUUUUCUUCCUGACGAAGUGGGAAUACCUCUUAGAACAGACGGGUGGAAGUUGCUUCUCACAACGAGAUCAGCGGAGAUAUGUCGAAAAAUGGAUUGCCAAAGGAUAAUCAAAGUGGAGUCUCUUUCUGAGGGUGAGGCUUGGGAUUUGUUCAUAUACAGAUUAGGGCGUGGUGGUACAUUUUAUCCUGAGAUCGCAGAGUCUAUUGUGAAGGAGUGUGCUGGUUUGCCUCUUGGAAUCAUGACAAUGGCUCGAAGCAUGAAGGGAGUGGAUGGUGAAUAUCGUUGGAGAGAUGCAUUGCUAAAACUGAGAAGAUUAGAAGUUGGACCAAGUGAGAUGGAAGCCAAGGUAUUUCGAGUAUUGAAAUUUAGCUAUGCUCAGUUGAACGAUUCAGCACUUCAAGAGUGCUUCUUACAUAUCACACUAUUUCCAAAAGGCAAGAUCAUCUUGAGAGAGGACUUGAUAGAGUAUUUGAUUGAUGAGGGUAUAGUCAAAGUAAUGGGGGGUAGGCAUUUACAAUUUUGUAGGGGACAUACCAUGCUUGAUCAACUUGAAGAUGCCAGCUUAUUAGAAGGUUCUAGGGACGAUGAAGAUUACAGAUAUGUCAAGAUGCAUGAUUUGAUUUGGGAUGUGGCUUCGAAAAUAUUGAACAAAAGUGGGGAGGCUAUGGUUCGAGCAGGUGCACAACUAACAGAAUUACCCGGUGUAAGAUGGUGGAGAGAGGAACUGUUAAGAGUUUCACUCAUGGAAAAUAGAAUCGAGAAUAUUCCAACGGACUUUUCACCAAUGUGCCCCCGUCUCUCAACAUUAUUGUUAUGCAGAAACUACAAAUUGAAUUUGGUCGAGGAUUCUUUUUUCCAGCAUCUCAUCGGACUCACGGUUCUUGAUCUUUCCGACACAGAUAUAGAGAAGUUGCCGGAUUCUAUUUGUCAUCUGACGAGUCUCACUGCAUUGUUGCUGGGAUGGUGUGCAAAGCUGAGUUAUGUACCAUCAUUAGCAAAGCUUAAGGCAUUGGAGAAGUUGGAUCUCAGUUACACUGGACUUUAAGAUUUGCCCGAGGGAAUGGAAAGUCUGAAGGAUCUCAGGUAUCUUAAUCUUGAUCGAAGUCUGGUGGGUGUUUUACGGCCGGGGAUUUUACCCAAACUCUCCAAAUUACAGUUCCUCAAGCUUCAUCAGAAAUCUAAAGUUGUUCUCUCAGUUAGAGGAGAUGAAGUUUCCAGAUUAUUUGAUUUGGAAACUUUGGAAUGCAACUUCCGUGAUCUAGACGAUUUCAUAGUUUUCCAAAUACGGAGAUUUUCACUAAUUGCAUGCAAGGUUUCUGUGGGACGACCUUCUUUCUCUUCACUUGAAGAUCUAAAUUAUACAAGAUCGAAGUAUGGGUUAAUUAAAGAGGCUUGGUUUUAUGACCUCA